RNAcentral lists this ribosomal RNA (403 nucleotides) under uncultured bacterium. RNAcentral describes it as "partial 16S ribosomal RNA". It matches the Rfam family "Bacterial small subunit ribosomal RNA", at positions 28 to 526 of the family's 1533-position model. The record is from RNAcentral.
GACGAACGCUGGCGGCGUGCCUAAUACAUGCAAGUCGAACGCAGUGGGGACGGGUGAGUAACACGUGGGUAACCUCCCAUCAGAGGGGAUAACACUUGGAUACAGGUGCUAAACCGCUACUGGUGGAUGGACCCGCGGUGCAUUAGCUUGUUGGUGAGGUAACGGCUCACCAAGGCCACGAUGCCUAGCCGGCCUGAGAGGAGGAUCGGCCACACUGGAACGGAGACACGGCCCAGACUCCUACGGGAGGCAGCAGUAGGGAAUCUUCGGCAAUGGGCGAAAGUCUGACCGAGCAACGCCGCGUGAGUGAAGAAGGUUUUCGGAUCGUAAAGCUCUGUUGUUAGAGAAGCGGUAUCUAACCAGAAAGCCACGGCUAACUACGUGCCAGCAGCCGCGGUAAUAC